Orycteropus afer afer is the source of this 71-nucleotide non-coding RNA. The record is from the annotation of a RefSeq genome assembly. Lineage: Eukaryota; Metazoa; Chordata; Mammalia; Tubulidentata; Orycteropodidae.
ACAGUGGUGGUUCAGUGGUAGAACUCUUGCCUUUCAUGCAGAAGACCUGAGUUCGAUUCUCAGCCAGUGCG